AGCUGUCAUACACUGACCAUAGCAGGUCCGUAUAGAACUAGGGAAGUUUGAUAGCUGACAUACACUAACCAUAGCAGGUCAGCAUAAAACUAGGGAAGUUUGAUAGCUGUCAUACACUAACCAUAGCAGGUCAGUAUAGAACUAGGGAAGUUUGAUAGCUGUCAUACACUAACCAUAGCAGGUCAGUAUAGAACUAGGGAAGUUUGAUAGCUGUCAUACACUGACCAUAGCAGGUCCGUAUAGAACUAGGGAAGUUUGAUAGCUGACAUACACUAACCAUAGCAGGUCAGCAUAAAACUAGGGAAGUUUGAUAGCUGUCAUACACUAACCAUAGCAGGUCAGUAUAGAACUAGGGAAGUUUGAUAGCUGUCAUACACUAACCAUAGCAGGUCAGUAUAGAACUAGGGAAGUUUGAUAGCUGUCAUACACUAACCAUAGCAGGUCAGUAUAGAACUAGGGAAGUUUGAUAGCUGUCAUACACUAACCAUAGCAGGUCAGCAUAAAACUAGGGAAGUUUGAUAGCUGUCAUACACUAACCAUAGCAGGUCAGUAUAGAACUAGGGAAGUUUGAUAGCUGUCAUACACUAACCAUAGCAGGUC
This is a long non-coding RNA of Pecten maximus, 600 nucleotides long. RefSeq lists it as uncharacterized. The record is from RefSeq and is a predicted model, not a curated record. The transcript is spliced from 3 exons. Lineage: Eukaryota; Metazoa; Mollusca; Bivalvia; Pectinida; Pectinidae.